RNAcentral lists this ribosomal RNA (88 nucleotides) under Candidatus Kurthia intestinigallinarum. RNAcentral's name for it is "partial 23S ribosomal RNA". It matches the Rfam family "Bacterial large subunit ribosomal RNA", at positions 2837 to 2925 of the family's 2925-position model. Lineage: Bacteria; Bacillati; Bacillota; Bacilli; Caryophanales; Caryophanaceae. The record is from RNAcentral.
CUGAAAGACGAUCAGGUAGAUAGGUUCGAGAUGGAAGUGCAGCGAUGUACGGAGUUGACGAAUACUAAUAGGUCGAGGACUUAACCAA